CCUUUAAGUAGAGGCGCGCUGCCUAUGACUACUUGUGCGGAGGGUGAUGCCGCAGAUGUACAAGGAAAGGAGUCAGCGCCGAAGUAGCCAGGUCAUCAAACCGAGCUGCUGGUUUUGCAUCAAAUAGGUGCAAGACUGCCAUAGUCAUCCACUAUGGAGCGCUACCUGAAGG
This is a regulatory RNA element of Shewanella oneidensis MR-1, 172 nucleotides long. It matches the Rfam family "Lysine riboswitch aptamer". From Rfam's summary of the family: Riboswitches are metabolite binding domains within certain messenger RNAs that serve as precision sensors for their corresponding targets. Allosteric rearrangement of mRNA structure is mediated by ligand binding, and this results in modulation of gene expression. The record is from Rfam. Lineage: Bacteria; Pseudomonadati; Pseudomonadota; Gammaproteobacteria; Alteromonadales; Shewanellaceae.